AGGACGAACGCUGGCGGCGUGCCUAACACAUGCAAGUCGAACGAGGUCCAACCGGUGGCAACACUGGUGAAGACCGAGUGGCGAACGGGUGAGUAACACGUGAGCAACCUGCCUCGAAGACUGGGAUAACCCCGGGAAACCGGAGCUAAUACCGGAUACCCCCACCGGGUCGCAUGGCCUGGUGAGGAAAUGGAUUCCGCUUUGAGAGGGGCUCGCGGCCUAUCAGCUUGAUGGUGGGGUAAUGGCCUACCAUGGCACCGACGGGUAGCUGGUCUGAGAGGACGAUCAGCCACACUGGGACUGAGACACGGCCCAGACUCCUACGGGAGGCAGCAGUGGGGAAUCUUGCGCAAUGGGCGAAAGCCUGACGCAGCAACGCCGCGUGUGGGACGAAGGCCUUCUGGGUUGUAAACCACUUUUCAGCAGGGACGAUUGUGACGGUACCUGCAGAAGAGCCCCGGCAACUACGUGCCAGCAGCCGCGGU
This 485-nucleotide ribosomal RNA is filed under the name uncultured bacterium. RNAcentral describes it as "SSU rRNA". It matches the Rfam family "Bacterial small subunit ribosomal RNA", at positions 26 to 521 of the family's 1533-position model. The record is from RNAcentral.